RNAcentral lists this ribosomal RNA (216 nucleotides) under Glomeromycotina sp. RNAcentral describes it as "partial small subunit ribosomal RNA". The stretch from base 54 to 216 matches the Rfam family "Eukaryotic small subunit ribosomal RNA", at positions 700 to 864 of the family's 1831-position model. Lineage: Eukaryota; Fungi; Glomeromycota. The record is from RNAcentral.
GGGUCAGUAGGUUGGUCGUGCCACCGGUACGUACUGGUCUCACUGACUCCUCCUUCCUGAAGAACCGUAAUGCCAUUAAUUUGGUGUUGCGGGGAAACAGGACUGUUACUUUGAAAAAAUUAGAGUGUUUAAAGCAAGCUAACGCAUGAAUACAUUAGCAUGGAAUAAUGAAAUAGGACGAUCGAUCCUAUUUUGUUGGUUUCUAGGAUUGACGUA